UCCGUGUUCACCACGGCAGUCUCUUUAGAGAGCCCAACUGAAUGCUGGCAACUAAAGACAAGGGUUGCGCUCGUUGCGGGACUUAACCCAACAUGUCACCACACGAGCUGACGACAGCCAUGCAGCACCUGUCAUCUGGCUGUAUUGCUACAGAAACCGUAUUUCUACGGCGGUCCAGAGAUGUCAAACCCAGGUAAGGUUUUGCGCGUUGCUUCGAAUUAAACCACAUGAUCCACCGCUUGUGCGGGUCCCCGUCAAUUCCUUUGAGUUUUAAUCUUGCGACCGUACUCCCCAGGCGGUCUACUUCCCGCGUUAGCUGCGUUACCAAGGAAAUUAAUCCCCGACAACUAGUAGACAUCGUUUAGGGCGUGGACUAC
This 377-nucleotide unclassified non-coding RNA is filed under the name uncultured Pseudomonadota bacterium. RNAcentral's name for it is "uncultured proteobacterium contains 16S-23S intergenic spacer region". Lineage: Bacteria; Pseudomonadati; Pseudomonadota. The record is from RNAcentral.